RNAcentral lists this transfer RNA (85 nucleotides) under Felis catus (domestic cat). It matches the Rfam family "tRNA". From Rfam's summary of the family: Transfer RNA (tRNA) molecules are approximately 80 nucleotides in length. Their secondary structure includes four short double-helical elements and three loops (D, anti-codon, and T loops). Further hydrogen bonds mediate the characteristic L-shaped molecular structure. tRNAs have two regions of fundamental functional importance: the anti-codon, which is responsible for specific mRNA codon recognition, and the 3' end, to which the tRNAs corresponding amino acid is attached (by aminoacyl-tRNA synthetases). tRNAs cope with the degeneracy of the genetic code in two manners: having more than one tRNA (with a specific anti-codon) for a particular amino acid; and 'wobble' base-pairing, i.e. permitting non-standard base-pairing at the 3rd anti-codon position. Lineage: Eukaryota; Metazoa; Chordata; Mammalia; Carnivora; Felidae. The record is from Rfam by way of RNAcentral.
GUCUGGGUGGCUCAGUCUGUUGAGUGUCUGACUUCAGCUCAGGUCAUGAUCUCAUGGUUCGUGGGUUCAAGCCCCACAUCAGGCU